CCAGAAGCUGACGCAGCGUUUGCAGCGCUCAAAGCUCUGCUCUCCACCCAGCCGGUACUUGCUGCCCCAAUCAGUAAAGAGCCUCUGCUGCUGUACAUCGCGGCCACGGGACAAGUUGUCAGUACAGUACUCACGGUCGAGCGGGAAGAAGAAGGAAAGGCCUUCAGAGUUCAGCGCCCAGUCUAUUAUGUGUCUGAAGUUUUGACCCCUUCGAAGCAAAGAUAUCCCCAUUACCAGAAGCUUGUAUAUGGGAUCUACAUGACCACGAAGAAGGUUGCACACUACUUCUCUGACCAUUCCAUUACAGUCGUCAGCGACGCUCCACUGUCAGAGAUCUUGCACAACAGAGAUGCAACUGGUCGAGUGGCUAAGUGGGCGAUUGAACUCCUUCCCCUAGAUAUCAAGUUCGAAGCAAAGAAGGCUAUCAAGUCCCAAGCAAUCGCAGAUUUCGUCGCCGAGUGGAUUGAACAGCAA
This 474-nucleotide ribosomal RNA is filed under the name Triticum aestivum (bread wheat). RNAcentral's name for it is "partial small subunit ribosomal RNA". Lineage: Eukaryota; Viridiplantae; Streptophyta; Magnoliopsida; Poales; Poaceae. The record is from RNAcentral.